UACGUAGGCAGCAAGCGUUGUUCGGAGUUACUGGGCGUAAAGGGCUCGUAGGCGGCCAACUAAGUCCGACGUGAAAUCCCAAAGCUUAACUUUGGAACUGCGUCGGAUACUGGAUGGCUUGAAUUCGGGAGAGGGAUGCAGAAUUCCAGGUGUAGCGGUGAAAUGCGUAGAUAUCUGGAGGAAUACCGGUGGCGAAGGCGGCAUCCUGGACCGACAUUGACGCUGAGGAGCGAAAGCUAGGGGAGCAAACGGG
This 253-nucleotide ribosomal RNA is filed under the name uncultured bacterium. Its description in RNAcentral is "partial 16S ribosomal RNA". It matches the Rfam family "Bacterial small subunit ribosomal RNA", at positions 524 to 776 of the family's 1533-position model. The record is from RNAcentral.